AUAUGAGCGUUGAACAGGGUUAGUAUAUGUUGGAGACGGCACAGAGAGGGAAUCAUUUGCUGGGAGAUUUCUGCGGAGAUAAUAUAGAACCUGCCUGGGAGCUUCUGUAUAAAAGUACAGCGUAAGUCAGCGUUAAUGACAGAUAAAGAGAAUCACAACAGUGGUUAAUUAGGGUGGUACCGCCGAGAACUUCGGUCCCUUUU
This 203-nucleotide non-coding RNA is filed under the name Bacillota bacterium. RNAcentral's name for it is "Firmicutes bacterium T-box sequence". It matches the Rfam family "T-box leader". Rfam says of the family: Uncharged tRNA acts as the effector for transcription antitermination of genes in the T-box leader family. The record is from RNAcentral. Lineage: Bacteria; Bacillati; Bacillota.